RNAcentral lists this ribosomal RNA (454 nucleotides) under uncultured organism. Its description in RNAcentral is "bacterial SSU rRNA". It matches the Rfam family "Bacterial small subunit ribosomal RNA", at positions 28 to 507 of the family's 1533-position model. The record is from RNAcentral.
GACGAACGCUGGCGGCGUGCCUAACACAUGCAAGUCGAGCGAGGAACUUCGGUUCCUAGCGGCGGACGGGUGAGUAACACGUGGGCAACCUGCCUCAUAGAGGGGGAUAGCCUCCCGAAAGGGAGAUUAAUACCGCAUAACACUGCGGAUUCGCAUGAAACUGCAGUUAAAGGAGCAAUCCGCUAUGAGAUGGGCCCGCGGCGCAUUAGCUAGUUGGUGAGGUAACGGCUCACCAAGGCGACGAUGCGUAGCCGACCUGAGAGGGUGAUCGGCCACAUUGGAACUGAGACACGGUCCAGACUCCUACGGGAGGCAGCAGUGGGGAAUAUUGCACAAUGGGCGAAAGCCUGAUGCAGCAACGCCGCGUGGAGGAAGAAGGCCUUCGGGUUGUAAACUCUUGUCUUCUGGGACGAUAAUGACGGUACCAGAGGAGGAAGCCACGGCUAACUACGUG